CCUACGGGAGGCAGCAGUGGGGAAUUUUGCGCAAUGGGCGAAAGCCUGACGCAGCGACGCCGCGUGGGGGAAGAAGGCCUUCGGGUUGUAAACUCCUUUAGUACGGGAAGAAGCCUUCGGGUGACGGUACCGUAAGAAUAAGCCACGGCUAACUCUGUGCCAGCAGCCGCGGUAAGACAGAGGUGGCAAGCGUUGUUCGGAUUUACUGGGCUUAAAGGGCGUGUAGGCGUCCUGAUAAGUCAGAUGUGGAAGCCUUGGGCUUAACCCAAGAAGUGCAUUUGAAACUGUCAGGAUUGAGUCGUGUUAAGGAGGACGGAAUUCCUGGUGUAGCGGUGAAAUGCGUAGAUAUCAGGAGGAAGGCCGGUGGUGAAGACGGUCCUCUAGGCAAUGACUGACGCUGAGGCGCGAAAGCGUGGGUAGCAAACAGGAUUAGAUACCCUGGUAGUCCACGCCCUAAACGGUGCGUACUAGGUGUGGGUGGCGAUAGUCAUCCGUGCCGAAGGGAAACCAUUAAGUACGCCGCCUGGGGAGUACGG
RNAcentral lists this ribosomal RNA (536 nucleotides) under uncultured bacterium. RNAcentral's name for it is "bacterial SSU rRNA". It matches the Rfam family "Bacterial small subunit ribosomal RNA", at positions 338 to 885 of the family's 1533-position model. The record is from RNAcentral.